Molecule: non-coding RNA, 326 nt
Organism: Gorilla gorilla gorilla (western lowland gorilla)
Lineage: Eukaryota; Metazoa; Chordata; Mammalia; Primates; Hominidae
Rfam family: Metazoan signal recognition particle RNA
About the family: The signal recognition particle (SRP) is a universally conserved ribonucleoprotein.
Source: Rfam
GCCAGGCACAGUGGUUCAUACCUGUAAUCCCAGCACUUCGGGAGGCUAAAGCGGGAGAAUCUUUUGAGCCCAGGAGGUUUGAGACUAGCCUGGGCAACACAGUGAGACCCCAUAUCCACAAAAAGUAGAAAAACUUGCCAGGUCUGGUGGCACGUGCCUGUGGUCUCAGCUAUCUGGGAGGCUGACGUGGGAGGAUCGCUUGAGACCAGGAGGUCAAGGCUGCAGUGAGCUGUNNNNNNNNNNACAGCUCACUGCAGCCUUGACCUCCUGGUCUCAAGCGAUCCUCCCACGUCAGCCUCCCAGAUAGCUGAGACCACAGGCACGUG